GGUCAAGCGAAUAAGCGCACACGGUGGAUGCCUUGGCGGUCAGAGGCGAUGAAGGACGUGGCAGCCUGCGAAAAGUAUCGGGGAGCUGGCAACAAGCUUUGAUCCGGUAAUGUCCGAAUGGGGAAACCCACCCGCUUGCGGGUAUCCUGCAGUGAAUACAUAGCUGCUGGAAGCGAACCUGGUGAACUGAAAUAUCUAAGUAACCAGAGGAAAAGAAAUCAACCGAGAUUCCGUAAGUAGCGACGAGCGAACGCGGACUAGCCCUUAAGCUGGAUUGGUUCUAGGAAAACGCUCUGGAAAGAGCGGCCAUAGAAGGUGAUAGCCCUGUAUCUGAAAGGGCCAUUCCAGUGAAGACGAGUAGGGCGGGGCACGUGAAACCCUGUCUGAACAUGGGGGGACCAUCCUCCAAGGCUAAAUACUACUGACCGACCGAUAGUGAACCAGUACCGUGAGGGAAAGGCGAAAAGAACCCCGGAGAGGGGAGUGAAAUAGAACCUGAAACCGUGUGCGUACAAGCAGUAGGAGCUCCGCAAGGGGUGACUGCGUACCUUUUGUAUAAUGGGUCAGCGACUUACUGUUCGUGGCAAGCUUAACCGUAUAGGGGAGGCGAAGGGAAACCGAGUCUGAUAAGGGCGCAUAGUCGCGGGCAGUAGACCCGAAACCGGGUGAUCUAGUCAUGCCCAGGGUGAAGGUGCGGUAACACGCACUGGAGGCCCGAACCCACUCCCGUUGCAAAGGUAGGGGAUGAGGUGUGAUUAGGAGUGAAAAGCUAAUCGAACCCGGAGAUAGCUGGUUCUCCUCGAAAGCUAUUUAGGUAGCGCCUCAUAUGUAUCCUCUCGGGGGUAGAGCACUGUUAUGGCUAGGGGGUCAUCGCGACUUACCAAACCAUUGCAAACUCCGAAUACCGAGACGGACUGUAUGGGAGACACACGGCGGGUGCUAACGUCCGUCGUGAAAAGGGAAACAACCCAGACCCACAGCUAAGGUCCCAAAUUUUGUGCUAAGUGGAAAACCAUGUGGAAAGGCACAGACAGCCAGGAGGUUGGCUUAGAAGCAGCCACCCUUUAAAGAAAGCGUAAUAGCUCACUGGUCGAGUCGGUCUGCGGGGAAGAUUUAACGGGGCUAAGCACAGAACCGAAGCUUGGGGUGCAUAACUUUGUUAUGCGCGGUAGAGGAGCGUUCCGUAAGCCGUUGAAGGUGGAUUGAGAAGUCUGCUGGAGGUAUCGGAAGUGCGAAUGCUGACAUGAGUAACGAUAAUGCGGGUGAAAAACCCGCACGCCGAAAGCCCAAGGUUUCCUUGCGCAACGUUAAUCGGCGCAGGGUGAGUCGGCCCCUAAGGCGAGGACGAAAGUCGUAGUCGAUGGGAAGCAGGUUAAUAUUCCUGCACCUCGCGUAAGUGCGAUGGAGGGACGGAGAAGGUUAGGUGUACCAGGCGUUGGUUGUCCUGGGGAAAGGCGGUAGGUUUGGAUCUUUGGCAAAUCCGGGAUCCUUUAAGACCGAGCACCGAGACGAGCCUUUAUGGCGAAGUCACUGAUACCACGCUUCCAGGAAAAGCUCCUAAGCUUCAGCUUACGCAGACCGUACCGUAAACCGACACAGGUGGGUAGGAUGAGAAUUCUCAGGCGCUUGAGAGAACUCGGGUGAAGGAACUAGGCAACAUGGCACCGUAACUUCGGGAGAAGGUGCACCCUUUUUGGUGGCUCGUGCGAGCUAUAGCUGAAGAGGGUCGCAGUAACCAGGCCGCUGCGACUGUUUAUCAAAAACACAGCACUCUGCAAACACGAAAGUGGACGUAUAGGGUGUGACGCCUGCCCGGUGCUGGAAGGUUAAUUGAUGGGGUCAGCCGCAAGGCGAAGCUCUUGAUCGAAGCCCCAGUAAACGGCGGCCGUAACUAUAACGGUCCUAAGGUAGCGAAAUUCCUUGUCGGGUAAGUUCCGACCUGCACGAAUGGCGUAACGACAGCGGCGCUGUCUCCACCCGAGACUCAGUGAAAUUGAAAUCGCUGUGAAGAUGCAGCGUUCCCGUGGCAAGACGGAAAGACCCCGUGAACCUUUACUAUAGCUUUACACUGAACGUUGAGUUCGUCUGUGUAGGAUAGGUGGGAGGCUAUGAAACUGUGGCGCUAGCUGCAGUGGAGCCAUCCUUGAAAUACCACCCUGUCGUGCUUGACGUUCUAACCUGGGCCCAUUAUCUGGGUCGGGGACCGUGUAUGGUGGGUAGUUUGACUGGGGCGGUCUCCUCCUAAAGAGUAACGGAGGAGCUCGAAGGUACGCUCAGCGCGGUCGGACAUCGCGCACUGUGUGCAAAGGCAUAAGCGUGCUUGACUGCAAGAUCGACGGAUCAAGCAGGUAGGAAACUAGGACUUAGUGAUCCGGUGGUUCUGUAUGGAAGGGCCAUCGCUCAACGGAUAAAAGGUACUCCGGGGAUAACAGGCUGAUACCGCCCAAGAGUUCAUAUCGACGGCGGUGUUUGGCACCUCGAUGUCGGCUCAUCACAUCCUGGGGCUGUAGUCGGUCCCAAGGGUAUGGCUGUUCGCCAUUUAAAGUGGUACGCGAGCUGGGUUCAGAACGUCGUGAGACAGUUCGGUCCCUAUCUGCCAUGGGCGUUGGAGAUUUGAGAGGGGCUGCUCCUAGUACGAGAGGACCGGAGUGGACGAACCUCUGGUGUUCCGGUUGUCACGCCAGUGGCAUUGCCGGGUAGCUAUGUUCGGAAGCGAUAACCGCUGAAAGCAUCUAAGCGGGAAGCGCGCCUCAAGAUGAGAUCUCCCGGGGCACAAGCCCCCUGAAGGAACCAUGUAGACUACGUGGUUGAUAGGUCAGGUGUGUAAGUACAGCAAUGUAUUGAGCUAACUGAUACUAAUGAUCCGUGCGGCUUGACCAU
RNAcentral lists this ribosomal RNA (2880 nucleotides) under Stenotrophomonas maltophilia. RNAcentral describes it as "23S ribosomal RNA". It matches the Rfam family "Bacterial large subunit ribosomal RNA". RNAcentral also lists the same sequence under 1 other name. The record is from RNAcentral. Lineage: Bacteria; Pseudomonadati; Pseudomonadota; Gammaproteobacteria; Lysobacterales; Lysobacteraceae.